Pelmatolapia mariae (spotted tilapia) is the source of this 972-nucleotide long non-coding RNA. RefSeq lists it as uncharacterized. NCBI's taxonomy places the organism in Eukaryota, Metazoa, Chordata, Actinopteri, Cichliformes, Cichlidae. The record is from RefSeq and is a predicted model, not a curated record. The transcript is spliced from 5 exons.
UAACGGACACAGUUUUGAACUCCUAUAUUAGCGCCAUUUAUGGCUGCUUGGACCACAGCAUCUUCGGAAUUUGUAGACAUCCUGGCAGCUUACAAUUAGUUCGAGGUGAGACACUGAAUUUGAGCAGAAACCAUAAGGAUACUCAAAGGACCUGUGACUCUCAGGAAAUGCAUCAAAUGAGAGGGACAGAUGAAACAGUUUCAAGACAAUGGCAGGAAAAACAUGCUGAAGAUUGAAACAAACCUUGGCUGGAAAUAUUUGAAGGUAUCUAGCCAGUCCACAAUGAAAGCUUCGGUGCACCCCAUGAGUCUUCUGGCAGAAAUGAUGGCGCCUGUACUCUUUGGUUUCCCUAAACAUCACACCCUGCCUGUUUAUACGAGGCUCUUCAAUUAAGUCUGCAUUCAAAGAUUCAAUAAGAGAGGGGAUCCUGCCAGUCCAAAGUGAACUCCUGAUGGACAUUGAAGUACUCCUGCAGAGCUUGUAUCUUCGACACCAUGCGCAUUAGAAACUCCACUGAGUCCUUUCCUUCACCAAGGCAGGACCCAAUGACUCAUUAGUGUUGAUAGGUCAGGGGCAGGUAAUAUUUUGUUUCAUGUUUAUUCAUUCCUCCAUGGAUUACCAGCCAUAUAUAUGGACACAUGCUGUAUUCUCAAGAUCUAUGCUGUUUUGUAGGAAUAGAGAAAAUGAUAUGUUUAGUCUGUUUUCAAAUGGUAUGUCAAAUUUUCUCAUUGUUUAUCAGUAAUAUUCACUACCUUGGUUAUAUAUGAGCAUCUUUAGGUUUUUCUAUAUUUAGCGGUUGCAAAUGUAAAAUUUACGGUAAACCAUUUAUGUUCCUCAUAUUGUACUGUAUUUUUAGCGGUAAAAUACCGGCAGCUGUGGUUGCCAGGAAUUUACCGUAAAAUGUAUCUGGUCAAAAUAAAAUGCUGUAAUUUGUUAUACAAUUUCACUGUGUUUUUUACUGUCAAAGGUUUU